AGCUCCAAUAGCGUAUAUUAAAGUUGUUGCAGUUAAAAAGCUCGUAGUUGGAUUUGUGGUCUGUACGAUUCGGUCCUAUGCUUGUUGCGUGGGUACGUGAAUCGUUCGUCCAUCCUUGGGUGGAAUCUGUGUGGCAUUAGGUUGUCGUGCAGGGGAUGCCCAUCGUUUACUGUGAAAAAUUAGAGUGUUCAAAGCAGGCUUAUGCCGUUGAAUAUAUUAGCAUGGAAUAAUAAGAUAGGACCUUGGUACUAUUUUGUUGGUUUGCGCACCGAGGUAAUGAUUAAUAGGGACAGUUGGGGGUAUUCGUAUUCCAUUGUCAGAGGUGAAAUUCUUGGAUUUUUGGAAGACGAACUACUGCGAAAGC
This 364-nucleotide ribosomal RNA is filed under the name uncultured eukaryote. Its description in RNAcentral is "SSU rRNA". It matches the Rfam family "Eukaryotic small subunit ribosomal RNA", at positions 587 to 952 of the family's 1831-position model. The record is from RNAcentral.